UCGAGCGAACUGAUUAGAAGCUUGCUUCUAUGACGUUAGCGGCGGACGGGUGAGUAACACGUGGGCAACCUGCCUGUAAGACUGGGAUAACUUCGGGAAACCGAAGCUAAUACCGGAUAGGAUCUUCUCCUUCAUGGGAGAUGAUUGAAAGAUGGUUUCGGCUAUCACUUACAGAUGGGCCCGCGGUGCAUUAGCUAGUUGGUGAGGUAACGGCUCACCAAGGCAACGAUGCAUAGCCGACCUGAGAGGGUGAUCGGCCACACUGGGACUGAGACACGGCCCAGACUCCUACGGGAGGCAGCAGUAGGGAAUCUUCCGCAAUGGACGAAAGUCUGACGGAGCAACGCCGCGUGAGUGAUGAAGGCUUUCGGGUCGUAAAACUCUGUUGUUAGGGAAGAACAAGUACGAGAGUAACUGCUCGUACCUUGACGGUACCUAACCAGAAAGCCACGGCUAACUACGUGCCAGCAGCCGCGGUAAUACGUAGGUGGCAAGCGUUAUCCGGAAUUAUUGGGCGUAAAGCGCGCGCAGGCGGUUUCUUAAGUCUGAUGUGAAAGCCCACGGCUCAACCGUGGAGGGUCAUUGGAAACUGGGGAACUUGAGUGCAGAAGAGAAAA
This 617-nucleotide ribosomal RNA is filed under the name Bacillus sp. (in: firmicutes). RNAcentral's name for it is "bacterial SSU rRNA". It matches the Rfam family "Bacterial small subunit ribosomal RNA", at positions 62 to 660 of the family's 1533-position model. The record is from RNAcentral. Lineage: Bacteria; Bacillati; Bacillota; Bacilli; Caryophanales; Bacillaceae.